CCGUACAGCUACCAUCGAUGUCAGUGACAGCUGGAGUGCGCGUGUGGCGCGUGCUGUGAAAGUGUCGAACCCACAUUUGAACUGCUCGCGGCGUCCUUGAUCUUGAGAUCGGACCGUUGUGAACGGCUUCACUUUUCAGAUACAAUAAUCGUGACGCUUUGUGAAAAAAGAGCCGCCACGUUUGUGUAUGUUGGUUGUGUCUUCUACCUAUGUAGGUGCGAUGAUCUUCACUUUGGCGCUAAUUUGGUGUGGGCGUACCGUAAUUGUCAUCUCGCAAUGAAUCCCCCGCCAGCAGCUGAUCAACAAACGCCACGCGUUGUGUAACGAUAAUCGUGCUCAUAGCGGAAGAAGUUGAUUUCGGUUUGUUUACUUUGAUGUGGGCUGCGUACGGUGCGAUGUGAAUGGCUGCGUACGGAGCAUUUUUGAAUUGCAGUGAAAUCUCCUCAUAGCGUGGUUUAGUUGAAAGUGUGUGAAAGGAAUUAUACCAUUUUCGUUCCGCAAACGUGCGCCGGUACGUCCAUCUAAAGAGUAAGGUAAAUUCCUUCAUCGUCUUCGCCGGAAAAUGAUUUCAACACUCCAUCUUCAAGAUGACAGACAGUGUAAGGGGUUAAGGAUUUAUCAUAGCAAAGAAAAUCUCUCUCCAAAAAAAAAACAAAAUAAAACGCCGGGAAAACGAUCCCGGGCGAACGAAACGCUGGAAACAAUAAGAACAAGGAAGAGGGGGGAAAAACAAAACCCGGCGAACGCAAAACGAUGCUCCAUUUUAGUUGGUGUGUGCGUGUGUGUGUGGAAGCUACUACGACAACGACGUCGGCAAUGAUGAUGAUGAUGAUGACGACUACGACGACGCGUCUUUGGGGACCGGCAGCAACGAAAAGCUUUCCGCCGGCGAAAUCAGUUUCCAUCUGGACGGUAACGCGUUUGGUUGCGUGUCGAGUUUUUCCGAUCGAGUGGCGUUGAUGCGCACGGCAUAAAAGUGGCAACGAACGUCGGUGUUUAAUGUGCCUUUUUGGGAAGGUGGGUGAAGGUGAAAAAGUGUAAUGAAAAUGUGUCGAAACUUUUGUUUGCAAAGUGUGAUAAAAAUUCGAAAGAAUAUUAAUUACGAGCGAAAGUUUUGUUGAGAUUUAUUUGCAAAAAGUGCGUCGUGAUCACAGCACGGUGUAUGUCGAAGUAAUUUGGUGUGAAUUUCAAAUUUAUUUUAAAAUAUAUUUAAACAUCCUUCGUUAUGGUUCCAUUACUUCGAUUCUGGUGAUAAAAUAGUGAUAAAAUCAAACAAAAUUUCCCUCCCCAAGUGAACGUGUAAUUUAAUAAUGGUUUUUUUGAUAGCAAAACAAAACCAAAACCCGAGCUCAUUUUAGUCGUUUUAGUCGUUUGCAUUAGAGAGGAGCAACAAAAAAGGCAAUCUACUCAAAACAAUGUGCAAGUGGUGCAAAAACGGUGAGGCUUUAAAGCAAUGUGAGUGCCGACAGACCCAAAUUCGAUGUACGACGAUCGUCAGCCCCCGAGGCUAGGUUAACCAUUUUGUGCUUUUUUUUUCACCGGUUCCCGUGCCGUGUGGGUUGUGCAGUGAAUUUUUAAUGAUUCAAUACGUUCCGGUACGCGGAUCGAAAGUUUAGGGAGCUGGAAUUGAAAUCCUUGACGCGUACGAUGAACGAAACAAUGCUAGCAACCGCCACACUGGUGACCGACUCCGGUUCCGGUGAGCCACCGUAUGUGGAGACGAACCUUACCGGCAUGUCGGUGGAAAAUCCUUCACUGGUGGAAGGUUUGCUAGCGCUGGCCAUGAAUGCGAGUGGUGCCGAACGGUGCCGUUUGCAGCAACAGGCCGAGGAGCUACUGCAGGACGUUGCCUGUCCGUCCUUCUUCGAUAUGGUGUCGUGUUGGCCCCGAACGCCUCCCGGUACGUUGGCCGUGUUACCGUGCUUUGCAGAGCUGAAGGGUGUGCAGUAUGACAGUUCGCAAAAUGCAACCCGUUUCUGUAACAUCGACGGUAUCUGGGAUAAUUACACCGACUACGAUCGCUGCCAGCACAUCGACCAACCGUCCCCGUUGCCAAGCUUCGAGCCGGAAAUCGAACUGCCAACGCUGAUCUACUUCGUCGGCUACUCAAUUAGCUUGGCCGCACUGGUGCUGGCCGUGGCAGUACUGGUGUAUUUCAAUAACUAUUCUGCCCGCAGGGAUUUACGCUGUCUGCGCAACACUAUCCACGUCAACCUGUUCCUCACCUACAUCAUGUCCUCGAGCCUUUGGAUACUUAUACUAUCGUUACAGAUCACCGUAAAACUGGAAGUGGCUGGAUGCAUAUUUCUCGUAACGCUCUUUCACUACUUCAGUACAACCAACUUCUUCUGGAUGCUGGUAGAAGGACUUUACCUUUACAUGCUGGUGGUGCAAACGUUUUCCGGUGACACGUUGCGCUUUCGAAAGUACGCCAUUAUUGGGUGGGGAGGUCCGUUAAUCUUUGUAGGAGCGUGGGCCAUCGCAAAACCGUUCUUCGGUUCCACCUCGAAUUUGGAACAUCCUAAUAAACUCGAAAUAGAAUGCUCCUGGAUGCGUGAAUCUCACAUCGAUUGGAUCAUCCAGGGCCCGUCCUGUGCCGUGUUGGUUAUCAAUCUCAUCUUCCUGCUGCGCAUCAUGUGGGUGCUGAUCACGAAACUCCGCUCGGCAAAUACGGUGGAAACGCGCCAAUAUCGGAAAGCCUCGAAAGCACUGCUUGUGCUGAUACCGCUGCUAGGCAUCACCUACCUCAUCGUUAUCUAUGGCCCAGGCGAGGGUGGGGUUGGAAGCCACAUAUUUGCCGUCACGAGAGCCAUUCUUCUCAGCACACAGGGAUUUGUCGUGUCGCUUCUGUACUGUUUCCUAAAUUCCGAAGUACGCCAAACCCUGCGACAUCAUUUCUAUCGCUGGCGGGACGAACGGAACAUCCUUUCCGGGAAAGUUAACAAUCACCAUCGUAGGCCAACGUUCAGCAAGGACAACUCACCCCGUUCGCGCACGGAAAGUACACGUUUAACAACGACCACUUCUGCACCAUUAAUUUAAUCCUGAGUUCCUGUGCUUAGCGAUGUGAUACGGUUUGAAAACCAACUAUUACACAAAAGGUUCUCCCAGUUUUCCCGACCAGAAUCGAUGAAUUUUCCACCCGUUCCAUUAUCGUAAAUCCUGUGUAUCCGAUGCAUUGAUCAGUUGGAAAAGCAAAGAUCACGCUGUGAGCGGCUUCAUACGUGGAUGAAACAGUGUUGCAUGUGAAAAAGAGAGCAAGAAAGCUAGUGAGCAAGCAAGGAUUAAAAGAGAAGCAAAGCUAAACUAAUUAAAUUACACGAAGCUAAAAAAAACAAAGCUGAGAAAAACAGAAACCAGCAUCACUGUAAACAAUUUACCAUUUCUCUCGAUGUAAACAAAGUGAGAUAGUGUGCGAUGUGCCUGUAAGGCAUAUCAACCAGCCAGACCUUUGCCAGCAAGGUGAUAAAGUUAUAUUUUUUCACUACACACACACACUCAACUUAAAUGCAAAACUGUUUAUCGAUGUUGAAAUAUGUACACUUGACGAGCAAAUCAAUCACCAGCAUCAUUCGUAAGCGUAUAGGAGGAAAUGAUCAUGUAUGUAAGGAGUUUUGUCUUAGAUGAAAUAUAAAACUGUUAUAAGCUAAAACUUGCCAAACUGUGCGGAAAAAUAUAUAGGAUAAACAUUCAAUCUAAAUGUGUGAUUCGCUGUGUAUGCUACACAACCGAUAGCAACAAAUGUAAAAUGGCCAAAGUAGGUCGAAUGUGUUAUUUAUAAGAGAUGUCUCUAUGAAGCCUGGUUAUUAACGAGAUCAUGUCCAGAACAGUUUUUGAAUGUAUUUUUGCUGUACAUAGGAAUACAAAUAUAUGAAAUCUCGAUGUACGCCAAA
Molecule: RNA transcript, 3893 nt
Organism: Anopheles funestus (African malaria mosquito)
Lineage: Eukaryota; Metazoa; Arthropoda; Insecta; Diptera; Culicidae
Gene name: diuretic hormone receptor-like
Exons: 13
Source: RefSeq, a predicted model, not a curated record